CUUUACAAGAUACAUACACACUGACUCUCCUCCCUGAAGCAAAGAAAACCUUAGUGGAUUCCAGAGUAGAAAUAGCAAUAGGAUCUACCCAGUACAACUAGAAAUUAAUAAUGAAAUGGGGGGAAAGUUCCACCUGGAAAUUUUAAAAAUUAAUAAAUUACCUGAGUCAAAGGGGAAAUACAAGUUAAAGUUAUAUAAUUUUUCUGGAAAACUGUGUGUCACAAUUUAUGGUAUAGCCUAAAGUGGUACUCAAAGAUUAUGGCUCUAAAAACAUGUAGAAAAAUAAAGUAAUUAAGCCUAUGACUCAGAGUUAGGAAAACAAAGUAUUCAUAAAUACUAAAUUAGAAAUCAGUAAGUUAAAAAAACAAGAAUAAGAAAGAUUUUUUAAAAAUAUAUAAACUAAUUUAUAUGAGCAAAUUGAAAAUUAUAGAAACUAGCCCCCAUCAAAGAAAAAGGACCAGCUUCAGUUUCACAGAAAAUUCUUGUGAUUCUUAAAAACUAGACAAUUCAAAUGCUAUGAAAAAUUCCAGAGUACA
This is a long non-coding RNA of Pipistrellus kuhlii (Kuhl's pipistrelle), 536 nucleotides long. RefSeq lists it as uncharacterized. NCBI's taxonomy places the organism in Eukaryota, Metazoa, Chordata, Mammalia, Chiroptera, Vespertilionidae. The transcript has 2 exons. The record is from RefSeq and is a predicted model, not a curated record.